GGCGGCGUGCUUAACACAUGCAAGUCGAGCGGAAAGGCCCUUCGGGGUACUCGAGCGGCGAACGGGUGAGUAACACGUGAGUAACCUGCCCCUGACUCUGGGAUAAGCCUGGGAAACUGGGUCUAAUACCGGAUAUGACACCGUUCCCGAUGGGAUGCGUGUGGAAAGUUUUUUCGGUCAGGGAUGGGCUCGCGGCCUAUCAGCUUGUUGGUGGGGUAGUGGCCUACCAAGGCGACGACGGGUAGCCGGCCUGAGAGGGCGACCGGCCACACUGGGACUGAGACACGGCCCAGACUCCUACGGGAGGCAGCAGUGGGGAAUAUUGCGCAAUGGGCGGAAGCCUGACGCAGCGACGCCGCGUGGGGGAUGACGGCCUUCGGGUUGUAAACCUCUUUCAGCAGGGACGAAGUUGACGUGUACCUGUAGAAGAAGCGCCGGCUAACUACGUGCCAGCAGCCGCGGUAAUACGUAGGGCGCAAGCGUUGUCCGGAAUUAUUGGGCGUAAAGAGCUCGUAGGUGGCUUGUCGCGUCUGCCGUGAAAGCCCGUGGCUUAACUGCGGGUCUGCGGUGGAUACGGGCAGGCUAGAGGUUGGUAGGGGCAAGCGGAAUUCCUGGUGUAGCGGUGAAAUGCGCAGAUAUCAGGAGGAACACCGGUGGCGAAGGCGGCUUGCUGGGCCAGUUCUGACGCUGAGGAGCGAAAGCGUGGGGAGCGAACAGGAUUAGAUACCCUGGUAGUCCACGCUGUAAACGUUGGGCGCUAGGUGUGGGGGACCUUCCACGUUUCCCGUGCCGCAGCUAACGCAUUAAGCGCCCCGCCUGGGGAGUACGGCCGC
RNAcentral lists this ribosomal RNA (833 nucleotides) under Streptosporangium sp. IM-6156. RNAcentral describes it as "bacterial SSU rRNA". It matches the Rfam family "Bacterial small subunit ribosomal RNA", at positions 38 to 889 of the family's 1533-position model. Lineage: Bacteria; Bacillati; Actinomycetota; Actinomycetes; Streptosporangiales; Streptosporangiaceae. The record is from RNAcentral.